AUUAGUAGUUAUAGACUAAAAAUUUGAAAAAUUUGGCGGUGAUUAUAGUCUUGUCAGGGGAACCUGUUUUUGAAUCGAUACACCACGAAAUAUCUUACUUAAGCUCGUAAAGUAUGUAUACCAUCAUUAUUAGGUAAUUUUUAUAAAAUUAAUUGCUGGUUUUAAUUAAUAAUGUUAAAUAUAUUAGAUCAAGGUGCAGCUUAUGCUUAAGUUAAAAUGGGUUACAAUAAAUACUUAUUUAUUACGGAAAAUUAGUUUAAACACUAAUUCUAAGGAGGACUUGAUUGUAAACUAAAUUUAAUAUGUUUUGUAGAUAUAAGCUCUAAAUCAU
Molecule: ribosomal RNA, 331 nt
Filed under: Achelous spinimanus
Lineage: Eukaryota; Metazoa; Arthropoda; Malacostraca; Decapoda; Portunidae
Description: partial small subunit ribosomal RNA
Source: RNAcentral